CCUACGGGGGGCAGCAGUGAGGAAUAUUGCGCAAUGGGGGCAACCCUGACGCAGCGACGCCGCGUGAGUGAAGAAGGCCUUCGGGUUGUAAAGCUCUGUCGGAAGGGAAGAACGGUUCAGGUGUUAAUACCAUCUGGAUUUGACGGUACCUUCAAAGGAAGCACCGGCUAACUCCGUGCCAGCAGCCGCGGUAAUACGGGGGGUGCGAGCGUUAAUCGGAAUUACGGGGCGUAAAGGGCGCGUAGGCGGCCCUGGAAGUCAGUUGGGAAAGCCCACGGCUCAACCGUGGGUGUGCAAGUGAAAAAGGAGGGCGUGAGUAACGGCGGGGAGGAGGGAAUUCACGAUGUGGAGGGGAAAUUCGUAGAUAUCGGGAGGAAUACCAGUGGCGAAGGGGGUCAUCUGGAAGGAUACAGAAGGUGAGGCGGGAAAGCGUGGGGAGCAAAAAGGAUUCGAGAACCCAGUAGUC
RNAcentral lists this ribosomal RNA (466 nucleotides) under uncultured bacterium. RNAcentral describes it as "bacterial SSU rRNA". It matches the Rfam family "Bacterial small subunit ribosomal RNA", at positions 338 to 795 of the family's 1533-position model. The record is from RNAcentral.